UACGUAGGGGGCAAGCGUUGUCCGGAAUCAUUGGGCGUAAAGAGCGUGUAGGCGGCCCGAUAAGUCCGCUGUGAAAGUCCAGGGCUCAACCCUGGAAUGCCGGUGGAUACUGUCGGGCUCGAAUCCGGAAGAGGUGAGUGGAAUUCCUGGUGUAGCGGUGAAAUGCGCAGAUAUCGGGAAGAACACCCGUGGCUAAGGCGGCUCUCUAGUACGGUACUGACGCUGAGACGCGAAAGCGUGGGGAGCGAACAGG
RNAcentral lists this ribosomal RNA (253 nucleotides) under uncultured bacterium. RNAcentral's name for it is "partial 16S ribosomal RNA". It matches the Rfam family "Bacterial small subunit ribosomal RNA", at positions 524 to 776 of the family's 1533-position model. The record is from RNAcentral.